This 492-nucleotide ribosomal RNA is filed under the name uncultured bacterium. RNAcentral's name for it is "partial 16S ribosomal RNA". It matches the Rfam family "Bacterial small subunit ribosomal RNA", at positions 29 to 507 of the family's 1533-position model. The record is from RNAcentral.
AGUGAACGCUGGCGGUAGGCCUAACACAUGCAAGUCGAACGGCAGCACAGUAAGAGCUUGCUCUUACGGGUGGCGAGUGGCGGACGGGUGAGGAAUACAUCGGAAUCUACUUUUUCGUGGGGGAUAACGUAGGGAAACUUACGCUAAUACCGCAUACGACCUACGGGUGAAGGCAGGGGAUCUUCGGACCUUGCGCGAUUGAAUGAGCCGAUGUCGGAUUAGCUAGUUGGCGGGGUAAAGGCCCACCAAGGCGACGAUCCGUAGCUGGUCUGAGAGGAUGAUCAGCCACACUGGAACUGAGACACGGUCCAGACUCCUACGGGAGGCAGCAGUGGGGAAUAUUGGACAAUGGGCGCAAGCCUGAUCCAGCCAUACCGCGUGGGUGAAGAAGGCCUUCGGGUUGUAAAGCCCUUUUGUUGGGAAAGAUAAGCAGCAGGUUAAUACCCCGCUGUUCUGACGGUACCCAAAGAAUAAGCACCGGCUAACUUCGUG